Molecule: long non-coding RNA, 38394 nt
Filed under: Triticum aestivum (bread wheat)
Lineage: Eukaryota; Viridiplantae; Streptophyta; Magnoliopsida; Poales; Poaceae
Description: long non-coding RNA (TAES_LNC006726)
Source: RNAcentral
GCACAAGAUCUCCGAGAGAGGUAUUGAAGUUGAUAAAGCCAAAGUUGAUGCUAUUGAAAAGAUGCCAUGUCCCAAGGACAUAAAAGGUAUAAGAAGUUUCCUUGGUCAUGCCGGUUUUUAUAGGAGGAUCAUUAAGGACUUUUCUAAAAUCUCUAGGCCUCUGACUAAUUUUUUGCAAAAAGAUAUUCCUUUUGUCUUUGAUGAUGAUUGUGUAGAAGCAUUUGAAACACUUAAGAAGGCUUUGAUCACUGCACCUAUUGUUUAGCCACCUGAUUGGAACUUACCUUUUGAAAUUAUGUGUGAUGCUAGUGACUAUGCUGUAGGUGCUGUUUUAGGGAAAAGAGUCGAUAAGAAAUUGAAUGUUAUACAUUAUACUAGUAAGACUCUUGAUACUGCCCAGAGAAAUUAUGCUACUACUGAAAAAGAAUUCUUAGCAGUUGUGUUUGCAUGUGAUAAGUUUAGACCUUAUAUUGUUGAUUCCAAAGUUACUAUUCACACUGAUCAUAUUGCUAUUAAAUAUCUUAUGGAAAAGAAAGAUGCUAAGCCUAGACUCAUUAGAUGGGUUCUCUUGCUCCAAGAAUUUGACUUGUAUAUUAUUGGUAGAAAGGGAGCAGAGAACCCCGUGGCAGACAACUUGUCUAGGUUAGAGAAUGUUCUUGAUGACCCACUGCCUAUUAAUGAUAGUUUUCCUGAUGAACAAUUAGCGGUCGUCAAUGCUUCUCGUACUGCUCCUUGGUAUGCUAAUUAUGCUAAUUACAUUGUUGCUAAAUAUAUACCUCCUAGUUUCACAUAUCAGCAAAAGAAAAGUUCUUUUACGAUUUAAGGCAUUACUUCUGGGAUGAUCCACACCUUUAUAAAGAAGGAGUAGAUGGUAUUAUUAGACGUUGUGUACCUGAGCAUGAACAGGAACAAAUCUUACGUAAGUGUCACUCUGAAUCCUAUGGAGGACAUCACGCUGGAGACAGAACUGCACACAAGGUACUACAAUCUGGUUUUUAUUUGCCUACUCUUUUCAAAGAUGCUCGCAAGUUUGUCGUAUCUUGUGAUGAAUGUCAAAGAAUAGGUAACAUUAGUAGACGUCAAGAAAUGCCUAUGAAUUAUUCUCUUGUUAUUGAACCGUUUGAUCUAUGGGGUUUUGAUUAUAUGGGACCUUUUCCUGCCUCAAUGGUUAUACACAUAUUUUAGUUGCUGUUGAUUACGUUACUAAGUGGGUAGAAGCUAUUCCAACUAGUAGUGCUGAUCAUAACACUUCUAUUAAAAUGCUUAAAUAAGUUAUUUUUCCGAGGUUUGGAGUCCCUAGAUAUCUUAUGACUGAUGGUGGUUCACACUUUAUUCAUGGCGCUUUCCGUAAGAUGCUUGCUAAGUAUGAUGUCAAUCGUAGAAUCGCAUCUCCUUAUCACCCGCAGUCUAGUGGUCAAGUAGAGUUGAGCAAUAAAGAGCUCAAAUUAAUUUUGCAAAAGACUGUGAAUAGAUCUAGAAAGAAUUGGUCCAAAAAACUUGAUGAUGCAUUAUGGGCCUAUAGAACUGCAUACAAAAAUCCUAUGGGUAUGUCUCCAUAUAAGAUGGUUUAUGGAAAAGCAUGUCAUUUACCUCUUGAACUUGAACAUAAAGCAUAUUGGGCUAUUAAAGAGCUCAAUUAUGACUUCAAACUUGCCGGUGAGAAAAGGUUAUUUGAUAUUAGCUCACUUGAUGAAUGGAGAACCCAAGCAUAUGAGAAUGCCAAGCUUUUCAAAGAAAAAGUCAAACGCUGGCAUGAUAAGAGGAUUCCAAAGCGUGAGUUUAACGUAGGAGAUUAUGUGUUAUUGUUCAACUCUCGUUUAAGAUUUUUUGCAGGAAAACUUCUCUCAAAAUGGGAAGGUCCCUACGUUAUCGAGGAGGUCUAUUGUUCUGGUGCUAUAAAAAUCAAUAACUUCGAUGGCACAAACCCGAGGGUGGUAAAUGGUCAAAGAAUUAAACAUUAUAUUUCAGGUAAUCCUAUCAAUGUUGAAACUAAUAUUAUUGAAACCAUAACCCCUGAGAAAUACAUAAGAGACACUUUCCAGAAUGUUCCAGACUCCGAAAAGGCAUAUGUACAUGGUACGGUAAGUAAACCGACUCCAAAACAACUAUAAUGGCAAUUUUUAUCAGUUUUGGAUUAUUUAAGGAUUUUAGGAAGAAAGAAGUAGUCAGAAAGGGGCACGAGGCUCCCACGAGAGAGGAGGGCGCCCCCCUAUAGGGCGCGCCCCUGUCUCGUGGGCACCUCGUGUGCCUCCCGAACUCCGUUUUCUUGUAUGUUACGUAUUUUGGUCGGUAAAAAUUCAUUAUAUAUACUCCCGAAGGUUUUGACCACCGUAUCACGCAAUUAUCCUCUGUUUUCGUUUCGAGUUGUUUCUGUUGCAGAAUAAAGCAAGAUGUCUUCUCGGGAAUCAGUUGGGGAGAGCCAGGUGUCUCACCCAACGCUAGGUCCAGGAGCAAAUAGCGAUGCCCAUCACUUUGGACCAUCAACGGAGGACGAUAUGGAGGCUGAUUUGAAAAGGGUAGAUGCCAUGGAGGAAGAUCAAGAAGUUACCUCUCGCCUUCAAGCAGAAUUCACAAUGGGGGAACUACUUAGCCUUGCUGCCCCCACUUCGGUUACUCUUUUCAACUCCCGAUUUCUUUCUUAUGAAAAUAUGAAAAAGAGUUUCACUUGUUCUCCAGAAGCUAUGCAGCAUCCUUGGGUGAAAUGAGCUUUGUCUGUCACGGGCAAGCUCCAUAAAGAAAAUAUGGACCUCAAACAACAGGUCAAUAAGCUCGAGGAGGAGAACCGUAUCCUGAAGGGCAUAAUUGCCAAGAAGAUCAUAACACCAACCGUGAAGAAGGAGAAAUAAUCACAAGGGUAUGGGCACUCCCCUUGGCAACUGCCAAGCUUGGGGGAGGUGCCCCGGUAUCGUAUCACCAUCACACUCCUAUCUUUACCGCUUUAUUUAGUUCGAUCCUUUUAGUAGUAUCUUGAUCUAUUAGUUUGAAGUUUUGGUAUCAAGUAGUUUUGAGUUUUGCUUUGUGAUCCCUUUAUGUAAUCGAGUCCGUGUGCUAUCUAUAAUAAAGAAUAGUGUUUGGUCAAGGGCUUUGCUAUGUUGCUAUGAUCUUGAGAAAGUAGAAAGAACAAAAAGAGUUCAUAUUGAUCUUAUGUAUAGUGAUAACUUCACACAUAGAAAGUAUGAGGCAUAAAAAUCGUUGAGAGUUGAUGAACGUAGCCUUGGUCAUCGUUGCAAUUAAUAGGAAGUGAUAAGGAAGGAGGGGUUCACAUAUAAAUAUAUUAUCUUGGACAUCUUUUAUGAUUGUGAAGCACUCAUUAAGUAUGACAUGCUAAAAGAAUUGAUGUUGGACAAGGAAGACAACGUAAUGGUUUAUGUUUUCCGACAUCUCAGUUAAAGUAUAUUGUCAUUGACCUUCCAAACAUGUUGAGCUUGCCUUUCCCCUCAUGCUAGCCAAAUUCCUUGCACCAAGUAGAGAUACUACUUGUGCUUCCAAAUAUCCUUAAACCCAGUUUUACCAUGAGAGUCCACCAUACCUACCUAUGGAUUGAGUAAGAUCCUUCAAGUAAGUUGUCAUCGGUGCAAGCAAUAAACAUUGCUCUCUAAAUAUGUAUGACUUAUUAGUGCAGAGAAAAUAAGCUUUGUACGAACUUGUUGUGGAAGUAAUAAAAGUGACAGAUUGCAUAAUAAAGGUCCACAUGCAAGGGGAAAUAUAAAGUGACGUUCUUUUGCAUGAAGAUUUCAUGCAUCAACCCUAAACGCGCAUGACAACCUAUGCUUCCCUCUGCGAAGAGCCUAUCUUUUACUUUAUGUUUUACUUUAUGCUUGAGUCAAGGUGAUCCUCACCUCUCCCUUUUUCAUUUUAUCCUUUGGCAAGCUCCUCGUAUUUGAAAGAUCAUGAUACAUAUAUCCAAUUGGAUGUAAGCUGGCAUAGGCUAUUAUUGUUGACAUCACCUAAAGGUGAAUACGUUGGGAGGCAACAUAAUAAGCCCCUAUCUUUCUCAGUGUCUGGCUGAAACUCUAUAACCACAAGUAUUGCGUGAGUGUUAAUAAUUAUAGGGGACUACGAGAUAGUUGAGUAUGUGAGCUUGCUGAAAAGCUCUAUUAUUGACUCUUUCUGAUAUUACGAUAAAUUGCAAUUGCUUCAAUGACUGAGAUUAUAGUUUGUAAGUUCCCAAUGAAGUUUUUGAACCAUGCUUGACACUGUGAAUUGCUUAUUACUUGAACAUAGGAAAUCAUAUGACAAAAUCCAUAUAUGUUGCUGUUAUUAGAAUGAUCAUGAUGCCCUCAUGUCCGUAUUUUAUUUUUAUCGACACCUCUAUCUCUAAACAUGUGGACAUAUUUUUCGAUUUCGGCUUCCGCUUGGGGACAAGCGAGGUCUAAGCUUGGGGGAGUUGAUACGUCCAUUUUGCAUCAUGCUUUUAUAUCAAUAUUUAUUGCAUUAUGGGCUGUUAUUACACAUUAUAUCUCAAUACUUAUGGCCAUUCUCUCUUAUUUUACAAGGUUUACCAUGAAGAGGGGGAAUGCCGGCAGCUGGAAUUCUGGCUGGAAAAGGAGCAAACAUUGGAAACCUAUUCUGCACAACUCCAAAAGACCUGAGACUCCACGAAACAACUUUUUAGAUUUAAUAACAAUUUUUGGGCAAAAGAAAUAGGCCAGGGGGCCCACACCCUGUCCAGGAGACAGGGGCGUGCCCCCCCCCCCUAGGGCCCGCCCCCCUAUCUCCUGGGCCCCCUCGUGGGCUUCCGGCUGCCAUCUUCUGCUAUAUGAAGGGUUUUUACCUGGAAAAAAUCGUGGACAAGCUUAUGGGACGAAACUCCGCCGCCAUGAGCCAGAACCUUGGCGGAAUCAAUCUAGGGCUCUGGCGGAGCUGUUCUGCCGGGGACACUUCCCUCCAGGAGGGGGAAAUCAUCACCAACGUCAUCACCAACGAUCCUCUCAUCGGGAGGGGGUCAAUCUCCAUCAACAUCUUCACCAGCACCAUCUCAUCUCAAAACCCUAGUUCAUCUCUUGUAUCCAAUCUUGUACCAAAACCACAAAUUGGUACCCGUGGGUUGCUAGUAGUGUUGAUUACUCCUUGUAAUUGAUGCUAUUUGGUUUACUUGAUGGAAGAUCAUAUGUUCAGAUCCUUUAUGCAUAUUAUUACCCCUCUGAUUAUGAACAUGAAUAUGCUUUGUGAGUAGUUACGUUUGUUCCUGAGGACAUGGGUGAAGUCUUGCUAUUAGUAGUCAUGUGAAUUUGUAUUCGUUCGAUGUUUUGAUGAGAUGUAUGUUGUCUCUCCUCUAGUGGUGUUAUGUGAACAUCGAUUACAUGACACUUCACCAUUAUUUGGGCCUAGAGGAAGUCAUAGGGAAGUAAUAAGUAGAUGAUGGGUUGCUAGAGUGACAGAAGCUUAAACCCUAGUUUAUGUGUUGCUUCGUUAGGGGUUGAUAUGGACCCGUAUGUUUAAUGUUGUGGUUAGGUUUACCUUAAUACUCCUUUUUGUAGUUGCGGAUGUUUAAAAUAGGGGUUAAUCAUAAGUGGGUUUCUUGUCCAUGUUAGGGCAGUACCCAAGUGCCGGUCCACCCACAUAUCAAAUUAUCAAAAUACCGAACGCGAAUCUUAUGAACGUGAUGAAAACUAGCUUGACGAUAAUUCCCAAUGUGUCCUCGGAAGCUCCUUCUUCAUUAUUAGAAUUUGUCCAGGCUUAUCCUUUGCUACAUAAAGGAUUGGGACACCUUGAUGCACUUUAUUUACUUUAUUUACUUUUGCUCGUUACUAUUUAUCUUAUCACAAAACUACCUAUUAUCUACUAUUUCAGUGCUUGCAGAGAAAACCUUAUCGAAAACCGCUUAUCAUUUCCUUCUGCUCCUCGUUGGGUUCGACACUCUUACUUAUCGAAAGGACUACGAUAGAUCCCCUAUACUUUUGGGUCAUCAAUCGAACACAUUUGCGUGUAUGGUUAGUGUACGAUUGAAUCGAGGGCGUCACAGAUAAAAAUGAUAAAAUUAGGUUUGGAGAGGUUAAGACUUUAAAUAGUGAUGUGCCUAGUACUUUGGAUUACAAGGACUUUAAUGAUGAUAGUUGCUCUUUAGUUGAAUGUAUUUCUUUGUUGCAAUCCAUGAUAAAUUCACCCAAUGCUUAUUAACAAAAUACAGCUUUCACUAAACAUAUUGUAGAAGUUAUGAUAAAAGCUCAUGAAGAAAAGCUAGAGUUAGAGGUUUCAAUACCUAUAAAAUUGCAUGAUGAAUGAUAACCUACAAUUAAAGUAAUUUUUUUUAAAGAUAAUGAAUGUAAUGCUUUAUGUGAUUUGGGUGCUGGCGUCUCCACUAUACAAAUUUUUUUAUGUGAUGUGCUAGGCCUUACCGAUAUGGAUGAAUGUUCCCUUAAUUUGCAUUUAGCGGAUUUAACUAUUAAGAAACCAUUGGGUAGAAUAAAUGAUGUGCUCAUACUUGCUAAUAAAAAUUAUGUGCAUAUUCAUUUCAUUGUGCUUGAUAUUGAUUGCAUUCCGUCUUGUCCUAUAAUACUUAGUACAGCUUUCCUACGAACCAUAGGUGCUAUUAUUGAUAUGAAAAAAGGAAAUAUAAGGUUCCAAUUCCGAUUAAAGAAAGGGAUGAAACACUUCCCUAGAAAGAGAAUUAAACCACCAUAUGAAUUUAUUACGAGGGCCACCUAUGGAAUUAAUUUGAAGGAUGACAACUGAUACGUCCAUUUCGCAUCAUAUUUUACUACUGUUAUUUAUUAUGUCUUAUGUCAUUAUUUCACUUUACGAUACAAUUCUUAUGUCUUUUCUCUCAUAUUUUGCAAGUUUUACAUGAAGAGAGAAAUUGUCGGCAGCUAGAAUUCUGGACCAAAAAGGGCUACAACAGAAAUAGCUACUUUGCACAACUCCAAAUGGCCUGAAAAUCUACGAAGAAUUGUUCUGGAAUAUAUAACAAAUAUUGGCGAAAGAAACCAUUGACAUGUCUCCUUUUGUGGAUCCGAAAAAGAAGUCGUUGAGCAUCUCAAAGUUUAUUAAGGAUCUCCAAAUUGUGAAGAUUGAUAGGCAGGUUAACAAGGUGACGCAUGAGAUUGCGAAAUUUAAUUUUGAUAGCAAAAGCAACGAACUAUGUAAUGAAAGAUUGUAAGAAUCUUGAUAUCUAAAUUAAUAUAUGGGUGGGGUUUUCAAAAAAGAAAGAAAGAUGUGUCGACCACUUUCAUUCACACGACUACCUGAUGCCGCGUUGGUUGGCUGGGUGACGACCGUUGAUAGUCAAAGACGACAAGUGGUUUGGCCUUUAUUUGUAUAAUGAACGCGGCUAGUAGAUAGUCAUUUUUUUAUCAAGUGGAUAGGAGCGAUGACAGAUGUUGCUGAAUGAUGUCUUCAGACUUAGUGAUGUAUUACUUUGUAAGUCUUUGUGAACAAUUAAUAAAGUGGCCGCAUGCAUCGUCCAAAUGCAGAGGCCGGGGGUCAUCCUCCUUUUCAAAGAAAAGUAGAUACUCAUUUUUAUAGUUAGGCACCUGAUUUUUUCUGCGGACCAUGAACGCGCUUAACUGUAAAUAAGGACCAUUUAGGGACGUGUUAGGUUACCUGCAUCUUUUUUGCCAUUUUACAUACUUGUCUCAUUUGGCCCUGGCUGAGCAUAUGCAGGCAAAAAAUAACAUCUUCAUGUUGAUUGAUUGUCUGGAUCCCCUCUAGCAUUCAUGUGCUAAAACCGAAGGCCUGCUGUUUGAUUGCGAACUUGUUUGAGGGGAAACACAAGUUUGGUUGUUUGAUUACAUCCAGGAUAGUUAUGUGGUAACCUCCUUCUCGAUGUGGUGAUGUUACCAAAGGCACAUAUGAACUACCAAGAACUAAACUAGGAGCAACAGAAUAAUCUUAGACACAAACACAAGUCUUAAUCAUGCAUUACAAGUUUUAAACCAACAUAGUACAAUAAGUUUUUUGCUGACCAUGAAUGCGCUUAGAUGUAAAUAAGGAUCAUUUAGGUGAAUAAAUACAGGUUGCCCGACAACCCAGAGAAGCCUUGACCGCCAAAUCGUCUCCCCUCUUUCCCCACCUACGGAGCCCAUGACGCGACCAAGCAGGGGACGCGUAUGAACUGAAGGUCUCUUUUCACGGCUCGCGCCCUAGGCCCUAGCUAGCUAAGGGCAUGUACUACGCUCCAGCAUGGACAGCUGCUUCAUUAUCCACGCAUGAGGAAUGAAUGAUGUGGAGAAGAGAGAUAAAAAAGAUGGCUGCCUGCAGACCAAGACGGGAUCUUGCAGAGGAGCCGGGGGCUUGGGUGAAAAGCUGAGAGAAAAAAGCAAGAGAUAGACAGGACCGCAAGGAAAAGUAGAAAAGAGGAAGAGGAAGAGAUUGAAUGUGAGAGUACUGCCUCAAUUCUAUAUGCAUACGAUGGAUCCUGAAACCACACCAUACCGGUGCCUCCAUAGCUCAUGCCCGAAGGAACCUUGUCGCUGUCGCCAGUAGGAUCCAAGAAGGAGCAGCACACUUUACACUCGGCGUGCACUGCAGCCACCGGCCAGCUUCACAUGGUGCACACUAGUAAGUAGUAUCAUCAACUGGCUCGUGAGUAAUAACUACACUGCUAUGCACAGCAGCAUGACGCGUCCAAUCAAGGCCAUGCUUUCAGUUCACACGGCAAAUUUCAUUUUUCUCCAUCUCGGAAAAUAAUAACAAUAAUUCAUUUUUCUCUUUCUUUUUUCGGACGAAGUAAACUUUGUCCUUUUUUCUGUCCUAGUGAGAAAAGGCGUACAACAGCAAUUGGCCCGCUGGUAAAACCACACAAGCAAAUCUCGUGAGGAGUGAAAGGACCCGACAGGGCGAAGCUAGGGUUCCUCCCCUGCUCCCCCCGCCGCCGCCGGCAAACCCGCACUCUCCCCCNNNNNNNNNNNNNNNNNNNNNNNNNNNNNNNNNNNNNNNNNNNNNNNNNNNNNNNNNNNNNNNNNNNNNNNNNNNNNNNNNNNNNNNNNNNNNNNNNNNNNNNNNNNNNNNNNNNNNNNNNNNNNNNNNNNNNNNNNNNNNNNNNNNNNNNNNNNNNNNNNNNNNNNNNNNNNNNNNNNNNNNNNNNNNNNNNNNNNNNNNNNNNNNNNNNNNNNNNNNNNNNNNNNNNNNNNNNNNNNNNNNNNNNNNNNNNNNNNNNNNNNNNNNNNNNNNNNNCUCCCGUCGCCCCCGAGGCGGCGGAGUGCCCCAUCUGCUCCUCCCAUCUCGACCCACCCUCCUCCUCCUUCCCCCUUCGUCGUCGCCGGCAGCGGCCUCCGGCGUGCUCGGGUGGCGCCGGCGGCGGCGAAUGUCCCUUCCCCGCGCGCCCGAAGGGGGAGUCGGGGCUCCCUCCUGCCCGGCGGUGGGGCUCGACGGCGGAGCCCGGCGGGCCUCGGGUGCCCUCAACGCGGCGGCAUGGUCGUUGGCUGCGGGGCGGCGCUGUGGGCUUCUGGCCGACGGCGCCCGCUCGGCCCAGAUCUGGGCCCUUUCGGGCCCCAUCUGGGCUGGGGCGGGCCUGCGGGUCCGAUCGUGUUGGCGCGGCUCCCUGGUGGUGUGGCGAGGCGGCGGUGGUUGUGGUGGUGAUGGCUCCGGUGGCCGGCAUGCUGCAGCGUGGCUGCAGGGACUGUCCGGACCCGUUUGGGUCCGGCCGGGCCGGCGUGGCCUGGCAAGUCCCUGUCGCUACGUCCGGUCGGCUCCGCGCGGCGGUGGAGGUUGUUCCCUCCUGUUGGCUGCGGUGCGGUUGCCCCCGAGCCCGGUGUCUUCUCGUCCUUCCUCCAGGCUUCGUGUUGGCGACCUCAGUGAGACGGUGAAGAUGGGGCGGUAUCCGUGGUGGCACAGGUUGGUGGGAGUCAUGUUGGGCGGUGCGCUUACGAUUGUCUGAGGUGGCGGUGGUUGAGGGAGUCCUGGACUAGGGGGUGUCCGGACAGCCGGACUAUCAUCGUCCGCCGGACUCCAAGACUACGAAGAUACAAGAUUGAAGACUCCAUCCCGUGUCCGGAUGGGACUUUCCUUGGCGUGAAAGGCAAGCUUGGCGAUACGGAUAUAUAGAUCUCCUACCAUUGUAACCGACUCUGUGUAACCCUAGCCUCCUCCGGUGUCUAUAUAAACCGGCGGGCUUUAGUCCGUAGGACAACAUACAUUACAACAAUCAUACCAUAGGCUAGCUUUAGGGUUUAGCCUCCUUGAUCUCGUGGUAGAUCCACUCUUGUACUACCCAUAUCAUCAAUAUUAAUCAAGCAGGACGUAGGGUUUUACCUCCAUCGAGAGGGCCCGAACCUGGGUAAAACAUCGUGUCCCUCGUCUCCUGUUACCAUCCGCCUAGACGCACAGUUCGGGAACCCCUACCCGAGAUCCGCCGGUUUUGACACCGACAUUGGUGCUUUCAUUGAGAGUUCCUCUGUGUCAUCACCGAUAGGCUCGAUGGCAUCUUCAGUCAACAACGCUGUCCAGGGUGAGACUUUUCUCCCCGGACAGAUCUUCGUAUUCGGCGGCUUUGCACUGCGGGCUAAUUCCCUUGGACAUCUGGAGCAGAUCGAAAGCUACGCCCCUGGCCAUCAGGUCAGAUUCGGAAGCCUAAACUUCACGACCGACAUUCGUGGGGACUUGAUCUUCGACGGGCUCGAGCCAAAGCCAAGCGCGCCGCACUGUUGCGAUGGGCAUGAUCUGGCUCUGCCGCCGAACAGUGCCUUGGUGGCCGCACACGAAUCCGCUUCGGCCUUCAGUCCGGAGCCGAUCGCCCAGAUCGAGGAUCGGUGGAUGGACACCACCUCGGGGGCUUCAACUUCCACGGCGAUGGAGCCGAACGCCAAUCUUGUCCCUCGCGAAACUCGUGAUUCCGAGGUGCCGGACUCCUUGCUGGACUCCGGACCUCCCACGCCCCUACCAAUCGAAUCGGAUUGGGCGCCGGUUAUGGAAUUCACCGCCGCGGACAUCUUCCAAUACUCGCCCUUUGGCGACAUCCUAAAUUCGCUAAAGCACCUCUCGCUAUCCGGAGAGUCCUGGCCGGACUAUGGCCAGGAUGGUUGGGAUACGGACGACGAAGAAAUUCAAAGCCCACCCACCACCCACUUUGUAGCCACUGUCGACGAUCUAACCGACAUGCUAGACUACGACUCCGAAGACAUCGACGCUAUGGACGACGAUGCCGGAGACGAACAGGAACCAGCGCCUACAGGGCACUGGAAGACCACCUCGUCAUACGACAUAUACAUGGUGGACACCCCAAAAGACGGGGACGGCGAAGAAGCAGCGGAGGCAGAUUCUUUAAAGAAACAGCCCAAGCGCCGGCGUCAGCGGCGCCGCUCUAAAUCCCGCCACAGCAAGAAUGGAGAUUCCGGCACAGGAGAUAAUAAUACCCCAGAGAGUGCCGAAGAUAACCCCCUCCAGCAAGACUCAGCGCAGGAGGAUGCAGAAGCAAGCCCUCACGAGAGGGCGGCAGACGAAGAGGUUGAGGAUUAUAACUAUAUGCCUCCCUCCGAAGACGAGGCAAGCCUCAAUGACGACGAAUUCGUCGUGCCCGAGGAUCCCGUCGAACAAGAGCGUUUUAAACGCAGGCUUAUCGCCACGGCAAAUAGCCUAAAGAAAAAGCAGCAGCAGCUUCAAGCUGAUCAGGACCUGCUGGCUGAUCGAUGGACAGAGGUCCUCGCGGCCGAAGAGUAUAAACUCGAACGCCCCUCCAAAAGCUACCCAAGACGCAAGUUGCUUCCCCGAUUAGAGGAGGAAGCGUACAUACCUCCAUCACCAGUGCACGAUACGGCCGACCGACCACCCCGUGGUCGUGACAGAGAGGCAUCCAGGCCCCCAAUCAAGACCGUACCCCGGCAUCGCUCCAAAAGUACGAAGCCAAGGGGGAACGCGCUGGACUUGCGAGAUAUAUUGGAGGACAAGGCAAGGCAAUCCAGAUCCAUCUACGGAUCACGUGGGCGCCCCACGACCCAUGACGAAUACCGUCGCGCCGUAUACAAUAACCCCAGCCGGGCCGAACACAGCAGACAACGCUCUCUCGAGCUGCGUCGUGAUAUUGCUCAAUACAGAGGCGCCGCACACCCGCUAUGCUUCACUGACGAAGUAAUGGAUUAUCAAAUCCCUGAAGGGUUUAAACCCGUAAACAUUGAAUCCUACGAUGGCACAACAGACCCCGCGGUUUGGAUCGAAGAUUAUCUUCUUCACAUCCAUAUGGCCCACGGCGACGAUCUCCAUGCCAUCAAGUAUCUCCCACUCAAGCUUAAAGGACCAGCUCGGCAUUGGCUUAACAGCUUGCCCGCAGAGUCAAUUGGGUGUUGGGAAGACCUGGAAGCCGCAUUCCUCGAUAACUUCCAGGGCACGUAUGUGCGGCCACCAGACGCAGAUGACCUAAGCCACAUAAUUUAGCAGCCAGACAAAUCGGCCAGACAAUUCUGGACACGGUUCUUGACAAAGAAAAACCAAAUCGUCGACUGUCCGGGUGCAGAGGCCCUUGCAGCCUUCAAACAUAACAUCCGCGACGAGUGGCUGGCCCGGCACCUGGGACAGGAAAAGCCGAAAUCCAUGGCAGCCCUCACGUCACUAAUGACCCACUUUUGCGUGGGAGAGGAUAGCUGGCUAGCUCACAGCAAUAACCUCCGUAAAAAUUCUGGCAGUCCGGAUACUAAGGACAACAAUGGCAGGUCACGUUGAAACAAAAACAAACGCCGCAUUAAUGGCGACGAUAAGGAUGAUACGACAGUCAACGCCGGAUUCCGAGGCUCUAAACCCGGUCAGCGGAAGAAGCCAUUCAAAAGAACCACUCCGGGUCCGUCCAAUUUGGACCGAAUACUCGACCGCUUAUGCCAGAUACAUGGCACCCCUGAAAAGCCAGCUAAUCACACCAAUAGAGAUUGCUGGGUGUUCAAGGAGGCAGGUAAGUUAAUUGCCGAAAACAAUGACAAGGGGCUAAACAGAGACGACGAGGAAGAGACCCGACCGCCGAACAAUAGAGGACAGAAGGGUUUCCCCCCACAAGUGCGGACGGUGAACAUGAUUUACGCAACCCAUAUACCCAAGAGGGAGAGGAAGCGCGCGCUAAGGGACGUCUAUGCGAUGGAGCCAGUCGCCCCGAAGUUCAAUCCAUGGUCCUCUUGUCUGAUCACUUUCGAUCGAAGAGACCAUCCGACCAGCAUACGCCAUGGAGGAUUCGCCGCAUUGGUUUUAGACCCAAUCGUCGAUGGAUUUCACCUCACGAGAGUCCUGAUGGAUGGCGGUAGUAGCCUGAACCUGCUUUAUCAGGAUACAGUGCGCAAGAUGGGCAUAGACCCCUCAAGGAUUAAACCUACAAAGACAACCUUUAAAGGUGUCAUACCAGGUGUGGAAGCCAACUAUACAGGCUCAGUCACACUGGAAGUGGUCUUCGGAUCCCUGGACAAUUUCCGGAGCGAGGAGUUAAUCUUCGACAUAGUCCCGUUUCGCAGCGGCUAUCACGCUCUGCUCGGACGAGCCGCGUUUGCAAAGUUCAACGCGGUGUCGCAUUAUGCAUACCUCAAGCUCAAGAUGCCAGGCCCUCGUGGAGUCAUCACGGUCAACGGAAAUACGGAACGCUCCCUCCGAACAGAGGAACAUACAGCGGCUCUUGCGGCAGAAGUACAGAGCAGCCUUUUAAGGCAAUUCUCGAGUCCGGCCGUCAAACGGACGGAUACAGCAAAAUGCGCCCGAAGCAACACCAACCAAGACAACCUAGCACGAUCAGAGCACGCGUAGCAAUGCGGCCCUAACCCCCGCCCUCCCAUGAUUGCAAGAACAACCCUCCGCGUACAUCAUUACGCUUUGGAGAUACCAUGGGCGCAGGGGAAGGGGCACGAUCACAACGGACCCAGAGUGCGGCUCGACCACACCAGAGGCUUGCAAGUGUGCCCCCUUUUUUUAUCACUUUAAUUCUUUGUGUACACAGGACUCCGUUAACCAGAGGCCCUGUCCGGCGAUGAACCUGCCGAACUCAUGAUGCAAUAGCGAGGGAAGAAAGAAGGCUGCGACGAACACUCAGGUGGUCUCAAUUACGAGCAUUAAAUUCGAUUAUAUACACCAAGUCCGCAGAUCACCCCUGGAGGGGGACCUGUUUAAUUAGUCCAAAUCCCUUGCUUACCGCACUAUUUGUAUCAGUCCGCACUCAUAGCAGACUUUCUUUAAUAAAUAAUGCAGCACUUUUCGACGGCAAUUGCAUUACUUUUUAUAUAUAUGUUCAUUACAUGACAUCUUGCACCCGUAUAUUUUGGUACGGCCGAAUACACCAGGGGCUUAUGUUCCCCACAUUAUGGUGUGAUAAGUCCGAACACUUUCACAAGUGCGGCACCCCGAACUUAUAGCAUUAUAUGAAUCGGCUCCGAAUCAUGUCUUGGGUCAAUAGUUGGGUUUGCCCGGCUCCCACGUUUUGGUGCCUUACGUUCCGUUCUGUCGGCUAAGGUGGCACUGGGAGAACCACUGCGAUUGCGCCCCGGUUGAGCCGGGCGAGCGCCUCAGUGGAGAAAGCUAAAACUGACCGGCAUGAUAAGGCGAGAGACUGUUCGCUGUUCGAGAGGUUUUUUCGGGUCCUUAAAGACUCACGCCGCUUCAAGCGAAGUUCCGGACAAUGUCCGACGAAGGCGUGGAUAGCGCUCCGGAUUCGGUCUUCUGAAUACCAGGGGCUUCGCCGAAAUUUAAAAUUAUAGAAUUCUAUGGCUAAGUGAGAGUGUUCAAGCAUUAUAAGUCCGGUUGCCUUGUUCGUUGUGUUGAGCGCCUCCCUAGAUGGACCCAAAAAUGGGAACAAGAGUGCUCAAGUUUAUCCCGAACACCCCAGCACUCACGGCUCGGGGGCUGAAGCCAACAACUUGCCAUCUCUCAGAUUUUAUAGACGGCCGCACAGAAGGUAAUAUUUUAAAUUAAACAAGCGUUGCUCAAGGCGCAUAUGAACGAAGUUUUCAGCGCACAGGAUAAUACAUAGCGAGUUUACUCAAAGAUUACAUUUCUGGGGCACUCAUCCGCAAUAUCGUGGGCUCCCUUCAGGACAGUUUUAUAAUACAUUUCGGGCGUGCGAUACUCCUUGCCCGGUGGCGGUGGGUCCGUGAGAAGGUUCUCCGCAUCCAACCUGCCCCAAUGCACCUUCGUGCGAGCAAGGGCCCGACGAGCACCUUCAAUACAGGCGGAGCGCUUGAUGACCUCCACCCAGGGGCACGCAUCCACCAGCCGCCGCACGAGGCCGAAGUAGCUCCCAGGCAUGGCCUGUCCAGGCCACAGCCGGAUUAUAAGGCCCUUCAUGGCCUCCUCAGCUACCUUGUGGAGUUCGACCAGCUGUUUCAGCUGGUCGCUUGGGGGCACUGGAUGGCCGGCCUCAGCGUACUGAGACCAGAAGACCUUCUCCGUCGAGCUCCCCUCCUUGCCACGAUAGAAUGCGGCGGCAUCGGACGCACUACGCGGCAGAUCUGCAAACGCCCCUGGAGAGCUACGAAUGCGGGUAAGUGUCAGGUAGUUUACAUUAACAUGCUUGCUUUGCAUGAAAAAUGCCUUACCCGCCGCUAUCUUCUUUACAUCUUCAACCUCCUGAAGGGCCUUAUGGGCCUCGGCCUUGGCGGACUUGGCACUUUCGAGAGCCGAGGCAAGCUCGGACUCUCGAGUCUUGGAGUCACGCUCCAAACUCUCAUGCUUCUCCAUGAGAGCCUGGAGCUCUUGCCCGCCACCCGUGCCUCCUGCUUUUCUCGCUCUGCCCGUUCCGCGGCCGCACUGCGUUCGGUCGCGGACACAGCCUCCUUCAGGGCUGCCACCUCAUUCGUGGCCCCUGCAGUACCCAUAUUAUCCUUGUUAAUUUUAUUGCAACCAAAAUCCUUUUCUAUAAGGUAAUUAUUCAAAGCGGUGUUACUCACCUUCUUUGUCCUCGAGCUGCUUCUUGGCAUGGCCGAGCUCUUGCUCGGACCGCUUGAGGUCCUGCUUCAACACACCGACCUCCGCAGUCAGUGCGACAGAGGUCGGCAGCACAGCCUGCAAACCCAUAUUGACAUAUUAUAAGCAACCCUGCGUAUAUCUUGUUAGAUCCUCAGUCUGGCUUUUCUGUCUGAACACCGAACUGAGCAUCAGGGGCUACUGUCUAUGCGGUAUUACAUUACAUAACUUUAACUUCUUGCCUCAAAGCCUGUUAGAAGGCUGCUGCAGGCUUCGGUCAGCCCGCUCCUGGCGAGCUGAACCUUCUGAAUCACCGCACUCAUGAGAGUGCGGUGUUCUUCCCCGAUGGAAGCGCCUUUAAGCGCCUCCAACAAGUUGUCCGGCGCCUCCGGUUGGACGGAGGCCGCCGAUGUCACAGUCCUGCCCUUCUUUCGAAGGGGCCGCUUGCCGGACUCUGGAACCACUGCGGGUUCUGAUGUAGAGUCCGGCACAAAGUCCGGGAGGCUGCCUGACGGCGCCUCCCGGAGCCUCCUCUUGAUGGGUCCCUCUCUGGGAUCCCACCUCGGCGUCCUCGUUGGCACGGGGGGUAGUGGCAGUCGGAAGUGAAUCCACAUCCGACGGGGCCAAUGACCCGCUCGAUGAAGCGGGGAGAUCAUCAUCGGCCGGACUAUGGACAAAAUGCGGCAUUAGAAGGACACUACAUAAUACGAAAGAAAUUGCAUGUCAAGGAUCCGGAUACUUACGAUCUUGCCGGACGCCUGGCCCUUAAAGGCCACUCCUCCUCGCCAACGACGGUGUUGGCGAAACUAUCCGGGGGGAUAGUUCUCCCCUUCUUGGACCCUUCGGCCUCCCCUAUUGGGGAAGCCUUCCUCUUAUUCUCUCCCUCCUCCGGGAGAGAGUCUUAUUCCUCCUCCUCGUCUUCGGGGGAGGAGUCCGCCUCGUCGUCGGACGCCUGAUUGCGGGAACUCUUUUCGAGUCCCCGCGGCCACCUUCUUGGCCUUCUUCUCCGGCACCACGUGCGGUGCCGGAACCAGCAGCCCUGCUAGACGGGCGUUCACUGUGUCCUCUGGCAUGGGAGCCGGGCUGAUGAGCUGCUCGGCCUUCUCCAUCCAUUCCUGUCAAAGGAAAAGAGAGAUUGAAACCCUCUUAGAAUCAAUUUGAUGACCACAAGUGUCCCGUAAAGGGGUUGAAUCACUUACCUCGUCAGCCGGAUGCUGCGAGCAAAAUCCGCGAUCUUCCGUCACGGAUGCGGGGGCUUCGGCGCCCUUAAAUAGCACCCUCUAGGCGCCUUCAUAUGUCGUAUCGAAGAGCCCGCUUAGCGCCUGGUGCUGUUCCGGAUUGAACUCCCACAGAUUGAAUGCCCAUUCUUGGCAUGGGAGAAUCCGGCGGAUGAGCAUGACUUGGACCAUGUCGACGAGCCUGAGCUUGUUGCUCACCAGCUUCUGGAUGCAGGCUCGGAGUCCCGUCAGCUCCUUCGGAUUGCCCCACAGCAGGCCCUUCUCUUUCCAGGAGGUGAGCUGCGUGGGGAUGCUAGAUCUAAACUCGGGGGCCACCGCCCAUGUGGGCUCGCGCGGCUCGGUGAUGUAGAACCACCCCGAUUGCCACCCCUUGACGGAGUCCAUGAAGGCCCCUUCAAGCCAAAGGACGUUGGGUAACUUACCCAACAUGGUGCCUCCGCAUUCCGCUUGCGUGCCCUUCACAACCUUCGGCUUGACGUUGAAGGUCUUGAGCCACAGGCUGAAGUGGGGCCGGAUGCAGAGGAAGGCCUCGCACACGACGAUAAACACCGAGAUGUUGAGGAUGAAGUUCGGCGCCAGAUCAUGGAAAUCCAGGCCGUAGUAAAACAUGAGCCCCCGGACGAAUGGGUGGAGUGGAAAGCCCAGUCCGCGGAGGAAGUGGGGAAGAAAGACGACCCUCUCAUGGGGCCCUGGGGUAGGGAUGAGCUGCCCCUCGUCGGGCAGCCGAUGCGCGAUAUCGCCGGAGAGGUAUCCGGCGCUGCGCAGCUUGGUGAUGUGCUCCUCCUUGACGGUGGAGGCCAACCAUUUGCCUCCCGCUCCGGACAUAUUCGGAGAAGGUCGAGGCGAGACGCGCGAGCUUGGGUGUUGGAGCUUGAGUACGCGGAGAUGGGUAAGCAAAGGAGGAAGAAGGCGUAGGUAAGAAGGUAAAUCCUUAUCCCUUAUAUAUAGGUGGACGAAGACUAUGCGUCCCCCACCGGCCUGGUAAAACUCGCUUAUCCCCCAAGCGCCACCAUCAAUGGCGCGGUUGGGUUACCCAUGUCCGUAUUGAUGAGAAUCCCAGAAUAAGGGGAACACGAUCUCUGCUUCGACAAGACGUGCCAAGGAAACCGCUUCGCUAAACGUGCCGAGGUGGUAUAAUAAAAAAUGAUUCAAAUAAAGGCUUGGAAGCGGUGUGAUGUCAUGCCGCAUAAAACGUCAGCAGAUUGGAUUUAUGUGCAUUAUUCUCUCUACGGUGGAAUGUGGAAUUUAUUUUGCAGAGCCGGACACUAUCCUGGUGUUCAUGAUCUUCUCUGGAUUAUUCAAGGGAGGAACCCGCCUUGCAAUGCCGAACAUUAUGCGCGCCGGACUUAUCGUCAUUGAAGCCUGGUUCAGGGGCUACUGAGGGAGUCCUGGACUAGGGGGUGUCCGGACAGCCGGACUAUCAUCGUCCGCCGGACUCCAAGACUACGAAGAUACAAGAUCGAAGACUCCAUCCCGUGUCCGGAUGGGACUUUCCUUGGCGUGGAUGGCAAGCUUGGCGAUACGGAUAUAUAGAUCUCCUACCAUUGUAACCGACUCUGUGUAACCCUAGCCUCCUCCGGUGUCUAUAUAAAUCGGAGGGCUUUAGUCCGUAGGACAACAUACAUUACAACAAUCAUACCAUAGGCUAGCUUUAGGGUUUAGCCUCCUUGAUCUCGUGGUAGAUCCACUCUUGUACUACCCAUAUCAUCAAUAUUAAUCAAGCAGGACGUAGGGUUUUACCUCCAUCGAGAGGGCCCGAACCUGGGUAAAACAUCGUGUCCCUCGUCUCCUGUUACCAUCCGCCUAGACGCACAGUUCGGGACCCCCUACCUGAGAUCCGCCGGUUUUGACACCGACAGUGGUGGUUUCGGGGCGGGAGAAAUCUCUAGCGGCUCGUUUGUCACCGGCGCGGCUGCGCCCGUGGGCGUUGCUGGACCCUCCUGAGGGGCGUCGGUGAUACCCCUUCCCCACUGCCAUCUGUGUACCAAGGGAAACCCUAGGAUUUGUCCGGGCAGCAGCGGCGUCGUCAUCGCAUUUCUUCCUGAAGAUGUUGCUUGGUAUGUGAGGCUUCAGAGUGCUUGGCGGGCGGUGGUACUUCUCCGGAGGGUGCAGCGGGUGUCGGCCAUCUUUGCUUAGUUGAACUGCCGGUGUCGGCAUUUGUUUAUUUUUUCUUUCUCUCCUUUUACUUUUGGGCUUGUUUGUGCUGCGGCCCCAGCAAGCUGGUUGUAUCGGUUGAAUGUUGCUUCUCAAUGGCGUACAACAGCUGAGUAGAAACAGAGUAGCAAGAGUACAUACUGCCCAGCCCAAGAUCCGCCCCCUUACGCGCUGGUGGGUAAGAGCAUUACUAGUAGAACCCUCAAACCCUCAAACCCUCACUAGCGUUUUAAGGGUCCAAAAAUGGUCUUUUUGUGCACUUUUACGGGUUAAAAAACAGGGGCAAAGAUUAGAACCCUCAAACCCAACCCUUAUAACCAAAUAUUCCCCAUGAACGACGUUGUCGUUGCGGGCAUACCGUCGAGCACCUCGUGCACGACGGGCAGAGGGUGGCGCGGGGGCGGAGGGCAAGGUUGGGAGAGGGUUUGAGGGUUGAACCUUUAAAAAAAUUGAGGGUUUGAGGGUUAAGGGGUUCUAGUCCACGGCUUUUUUUCGAUGAAAACUGUAAAAAAACAGUUAUUUUUAGAGGUUUGAGGGUUUGAGGGCUCUACUAGUAAUGCUCUAAGGUUCCUCGCCGAGAGCAAAGCACUCGUUUCCCACCAUCGUCGUGCAUCCCCUGCCGCCGCCGCUCCUGCUGGGGGAGUAGCCUCCAGGUCCAGGUGAGCUCAACUGCCCCAACCAACUCUUGCAUUACCAAUUUCUUCUACUCUUUCAUUUGUCUCCAACUCAUAAAAAUCAAACGCAAACUACUCCACUUGUUAGUUCUUAGUUUCGGCCCAUCUCUCCUUGGUUGCCUUUUUGCAUAUUAACAUGUUCAUAUGGUAGGACUAGGGUUCCUACCAGUGCGGCUACGCAGGUUAUAGGGACAAGGAGGAGGUGGACGAGGGCUGGAGCGAGCGUGCCGGCGAGUGGGCGCCGUCGCGGCUAGGGUUUAGGUGCGGCGGCGGUUGGCUGGUGGCGGCUAGGGUUCCGGCUCCUCAGGGAGCCGGGCAACAGAAGAUGAUAAUAUCUUUAUUGCUUGAUCUCAAAUGAUGUCUUACAACUAGUAUUUAUAACUUUAGCCUAAGAUAACUUGCCUAAAAUAACUUGCCUAAGAUAACUUGUGGGUCAAGCCCCUAAUACUAAUGCCCGGUGGGCCUCUUCCGGUUAUAGACCAAACCGGUCAUAACAUCUCUCCCCGCCUGCGCAAACAGCUCGUCCUCGAGCUGAAAGUCUGGAUAGUGUUGGCGGAAUUCUUCACGCUGCUCCCAAGUAGCCUCCUCCUCCGGAAGGCCCGCCCACUGAACGAGGAUGAACCAGACGCCACGACGGAGCUGCGCCUGCAACACCUUUGCCGGCUCUGGAAGAAUGCGACCAUCGGCGAUUGGAGGAAGCGCCGGAGGAGCCGCCGGUGGCUCGCCACGGAAAGGCUUGAGCAGGCCCACAUGGAAGACGUCAUGGAUGCGAGCAUGGGCUGGAAGCUGAAGACGAUAGGCCACCUUCCCAAUGCGCUCCAAGAUAGGGAAGGGCCCGGCGUAGCGAGGGCCGAGCUUGCGCUUCGCGUGCGGGUCGAAUGACUGCGUAGAGCGGUGGAGAAGACGCAGCCACACCCAAUCACCCACCGCGAACUCCGCCUCGCGAUGAUGAUCGUCGUAGUAGUGCUUGGCCAGCUGCUGGGCCUGAAGGAGAUGUUGACGAACCUCAGCAAGCAUCUCGUCACGAGUGCGGAUGAGGUCACCCGCAACCUCCGUCCGAGCUGUCUCUGGAUCCACCAGAAGUAUAGGCGGGGGUGGUCGACCAUAGACCACCUCAAACGGCGUAGCACGCAGGGCGGAGUGAUAAGAGGUGUUGUAGCAGUACUCCGCCCAAGAGAGCCAGUCCACCCAAGCGCGAGGCCGAUCACCUGUCACACAACGCAAAUACAUGGCAAUGACCUUGUUAACCACCUCGGAUUGACCGUCCGUCUGAGGAUGGAACGCCGUACUUAGGCGGAGCUGGACACCCGCCAUUCGGAAGAGGUCGCGCCAGACAUGGCCCGUGAACACUGGGUCCCGAUCACUGACAAUCGAAGCAGGGAACCCGUGUAGACGGACGAUGCCGUCGAAGAAGGCCCGGGCCACGGACGCCGCCGUGUAUGGAUGGCUGAGCGCGAUGAAGUGGGCGUACUUGGAGAAGCGGUUGACCACCAUGAGGAUGACCGACUUGCCGCCCCCUUGGGAAGGCCCUCAAUGAAGUCCAUGGAUAUAUCCGCCCAGACUUGAGAUGGCACCUCCAGGGGCUGGAGUAACCCGACCGGCCUGAGGGUCUCUGUCUUGUUGCGCUGGCAUGUCUGACAAGACCGAACCCAGUCGCAGACCAGGGCGCGGUCGCCAGGGAUGUAGAAGUCGGCGCGAAGACGUUGGAGGGUUUUCUGCAUACCCUCAUGACCCGCUGAGUGGGCGAGUUGUAACACCUGGUGACGGAGAUCAUCCUGUGCCGGUACAAAGACCCGGCGCCCAUGUAGGAGCAGGCUGUUAGAGAAGCGCCAAGGCUCCUCCAGGUCACCGGCCGUGAGCUGCUGCUGAAGACGGAUGGCGUCGUCGGCCGUCGCAGUGGCGCGGCGAAUGUCGGCGAAGAGGCCGAACGUCGGCCCGGAGAGGAUGCACAGGGCCGCCCCGGCGGACUCGUCGGCGGAGGACGCGAGGUCGGAGUCGCGACGGGAUAGCGCGUCGGCCAUGGUGUUAAGGCGUCCCGGCCGAUACUCGACGGAGAAGUCGAAGCUGAAGAGCUUGCUGAUCCACUGGUGCUGCGGCACGGUCGACAGCAGUUGGUCCAGCAAAAACUUCAGGCUGUAGUGGUCGGUGCGAAUGUGGAAGGACCGUCCCCACAAGUACGGCCGCCAAUGACGAAUGGCCUGUACAAGGCCAAUGAGCUCCCGCUCGUAUGCCGCCAGCUUAAGAUGACGCGGAGCAAAAGGCCGGCUGAAGAAGGCGAGGGGCCCAUCGCCCUGAUGAAGCACGGCGCCGAACCCUGCGCCUGAGGCAUCACAGUCCACCACGAACGAGCGGUCGAAGUCGGGCAUCUGGAGGACGGGGCCCAUUGUGAGGGCCCCCUUGAGGGCCUCGAACGCCGUCGUCGCCUCGUCGUCCCAGGCGAAAGCAUCGCGGCGAAGCAACCGCGGGAGGGGCGCCGCGAUGAGGCCGAACUCCCGGAUAAAUUUUCGGUAGUAGCCGGCGAGGCUGAGGAACCCGCGGAGAGCCCGCGGCGAGUGAGGCAUCGGCCAUGCGGAGACGGCUGUGUGACGCCCCCGAUUCAAUCGUACACUAAUCAUGCACGCAAACGUGUACGAUCAAGAUCAGGGACUCACGGGAAGAUAUCACAACACAACUCUAAGACAUAAAUAAGUCAUACAAGCAUCUUAAUACAAGCCAGGGGCCUCGAGGGCUCGAAUACAAGUGCUCGAUCAUAGACGAGUCAGCGGAAGCAACAAUAUCUGAGUACAGACAUAAGUUAAACAAGUUUGCCUUAAGAAGGCUAGCACAAACUGAGAUACAGAUCGAAAAAAGGCGCAGGCCUCCUGCCUGGGAUCCUCCUAACUACUCCUGGUCAUCGUCAGCGGGCUGCACGUAGUAGUAGGCACCUCCGGUGUAGUAGGAGUCGUCGUCGACGGUGGCGUCUGGCUCCAGGGCUCCAGCAUCUGGUUGCGACAACCAGAAAGAAAGGAAAAGGGGAAAAGGGGGAGAAAGCAACCGUGAGUACUCAUCCAAAGUACUCGCAAGCAAGGAUCUACACUACAUAUGCAUGGGUAUAUGUGUAAGGAGGCCAUAUCAGUGGACUGAACUGCAGAAUGCCAGAAUAAGAGGGGGGUAGCUAGUCCUAUCGAAGACUAUGCUUCUGGCAGCCUCCGACUUGCAGCAAGUAGAAGAGAGUAGAUUGAAGUCCUCCAAGUAGCACCUCCAAGUAGCAUCUCCAAGUAGCAUCUCCAAGUAGCAUCUCCAAGUAGCAUCUCCAAGUAGCAUCGCAUAGCAUAAUCCUACCCGGCGAUCCUCUCCUUGUCGCCCUGUUAGAGAGUGAUCACCGGGUUGUAUCUGGCACUUGGAAGGGUGUGUUUUAUUAAGUAUCCGGUUCUAGUUGUCAUAAGGUCAAGGUACAACUCCAAGUCGUCCUGUUACCGAAGAUCACGGCUAUUCGAAUAGAUUAACUUCCCUGCAGGGGUGCACCAACUUACCCAACACGCUUGAUCCCAUUUGGCCGGACACACUUUCCUGGGUCAUGCCCGGCCUCGGAAGAUCAACACGUCGCAGCCCCACCUAGGCAAAACAGAGAGGCCAGCACGCCGGUCUAAACCUAAGCGCACAGGGGUCUGGGCCCAUCGCCCAUAGCACACCUGCACGUUGCGAGGGCGGCCGGAAGCAGACCUAGCCUAGUGGCGUUCCAGUCCAAUCCGGCGCACGCCGCUCCGUCGCUGACGUCUGAAGUGCUUCGGCUGAUACCACGAUGUCGGGAUACCCAUAACUACUCCCACGUAGAUGGUUAGUGCGUAUAGGCUCGUAGCCAACUCAGAUCAAAUACCAAGAUCUCGUUAAGCGUGUUAAAUAUCCGCGAACGCCGAACAGGGCCAGGCCCACCUCUCUCCUAGGCGGUCUCAACCUGCCCUGUCGCUCCGCCACAAAGAUCCACUCGCGGGUGCUCCACCAGCCGACCCGUCUUUGGUCACCACAUGUAUCAUGUAUAACGUAUAUAGUAUAUACCCGUGAUCACCUCCCGAGUGAUCACGGCCCGAUAAUAUAGCAUAGCAGACGGACAAGAAUGUAGGGCCACAGAUGAAAAAUACUAGCAUCCUAUACUAAGCAUGUAGGAUUGCGGGUAAGGUAUCAAUGACUGUAGCAACAAUGUCAGGCUAUGCAUCAGAAUAGGAUCAAUGGAAAGCAGUAACAUGCUACACUACUCUAAUGCAAGCAGAAUAGAGGAGAAUAGGCGAUAUCUGGUGAUCAAGGGGGGGGGGGCCUUGCCUGGUUGCUCUGGCAAGAGAGAGGGGUCUUCAACUCCGUAGUCGAACUGGGCAGCAGCAGCAUCGGUCUCGUAGUCUACCGGAGAGAAGAGGGGGAAGAAACAAUGAAUACCAGGUAAACAGAUGCAUAUCGAUGCAUGACAAGACAAGUAACGAUGCUAGGCGUGCCCUAACGUGGUAUGAGGUGGUACCGGUUAAGGGGGGAAACAUCCGGGAAAAUAUCCCCGGUGUUUCGUGUUUUCGGGCAGAGGAGCCGGAGGGGGAAAGUUGCAGGUUCGAUAGGUUAAGAGGGUGUGGCGGACGAACGGACUGCAUAUCCGGAUUCGUCACGUCGUUCUGAGCAACUUUCAUGUAGAAAGUAUUUUAAUCCGAGUUACGGAUUAAAAGAUAUGAUUUUCUAAAGAUUUUAUUAAUUUCUGGAAUUUAAUUAAUUAUUUAAUUAAUUCGAAAAUGAUUUAAUGACAUCAGCAUGAUGUCAUGCUGACAUCAGCAGUCAACAGAGUUGACUGGUCAACCUGACUUGUGGGUCCCAUUCGUCAUUGACUUAUUAGUCUAAUUAGGGUUUAAUUAAACUAUCUACUUAAUUAGAUUAAUUAAACAUGAUUAAUUAACUUAAUUAAUUCAUUAACUAUUUUAAAUAUUAAUUAAUUAUUAAUUAAUUAUAUAUUUAUUUUUAUUUCGUUUUUUUUAAACGUUUUGGAGUGGGGCNNNNNNNNNNNNNNNNNNNNNNNNNNNNNNNNNNNNNNNNNNNNNNNNNNNNNNNNNNNNNNNNNNNNNNNNNNNNNNNNNNNNNNNNNNNNNNNNNNNNNNNNNNNNNNNNNNNNNNNNNNNNNNNNNNNNNNNNNNNNNNNNNNNNNNNNNNNNNNNNNNNNNNNNNNNNNNNNNNNNNNNNNNNNNNNNNNNNNNNNNNNNNNNNNNNNNNNNNNNNNNNNNNNNNNNNNNNNNNNNNNNNNNNNNNNNNNNNNNNNNNNNNNNNNNNNNNNNNNNNNNNNNNNNNNNNNNNNNNNNNNNNNNNNNNNNNNNNNNNNNNNNNNNNNNNNNNNNNNNNNNNNNNNNNNNNNNNNNNNNNNNNNNNNNNNNNNNNNNNNNNNNNNNNNNNNNNNNNNNNNNNNNNNNNNNNNNNNNNNNNNNNNNNNNNNNNNNNNNNNNNNNNNNNNNNNNNNNNNNNNNNNNNNNNNNNNNNNNNNNNNNNNNNNNNNNNNNNNNNNNNNNNNNNNNNNNNNNNNNNNNNNNNNNNNNNNNNNNNNNNNNNNNNNNNNNNNNNNNNNNNNNNNNNNNNNNNNNNNNNNNNNNNNNNNNNNNNNNNNNNNNNNNNNNNNNNNNNNNNNNNNNNNNNNNNNNNNNNNNNNNNNNNNNNNNNNNNNNNNNNNNNNNNNNNNNNNNNNNNNNNNNNNNNNNNNNNNNNNNNNNNNNNNNNNNNNNNNNNNNNNNNNNNNNNNNNNNNNNNNNNNNNNNNNNNNNNNNNNNNNNNNNNNNNNNNNNNNNNNNNNNNNNNNNAUCCUGAUCCAAAACUGGAUCGGGGGGGAGGGGAGAGAGCGAGUAGGGGUGUGGGUGGUUAGGGUUUGCGGGGGGGUGAGGGGAUAAGGUGUGGCCGGCUGGGCCUGGUGGGUUGGCCCAGUGGGGUUGAUGGCCUGCUGUUAGCUGGGCCGGUUGGCCCAUUGGGGGGUCCCUUUUCUUUUGUUUUGUUUUUUUAUACUUUUUAUUUAUUUUACUUUUCUGUUUUAAAUCGUUUUAAAUUACUUAGGCAUUUUAUAAAAAUGGGUUUGUUGCACCAUAAUUACCUUUGUAAUAUUUAGUACAAUCCAAACAUUUUUGUUUUAAUUUUUGAAAACUUUUAUUGUUAUCAUUAAUUUGAAUUUUGAAUUUUGGACCGGUUUUGCCCUAACGAUAGCUUAGCAGCAGUAAUCGUGGUGACGUGGCACCAUUAGCGUGGGAUCACUGUAGCUUAAUUAUCCGGGCGUCACAGGCUGCCACCUUGUCGGCGUCCAUAGCCACCCCGUCGGCCGAGAUGACGUGGCCCAAGUAGGCCACCGAAGGCGUCCCGAACGAGCACUUCGAGCGCUUAAGGUGGAGGUGGUGCGCUCGAAGCUCGUUGAAGACGAUGGCGACGUGCUGGAGGUGCUCGGCCCAAGACGCACUGUAGAUCAGAAUAUCAUCAAAGAAAACGAGCACAAACCGGCGUAAGUAGGGCCUGAGGACGUCGUUCAUCAGAGCCUGGAAUGUCGCCGGAGCGUUGGUGAUGCCAAAGGGCAUAACCAAGAACUCGAAGUGGCCGUGAUGAGUCCGAAACGCCGUCUUCGCGAUGUCAUCCAGGUGCAUGCGCACCUGGUGGUACCCUGACCGGAGGUUGAGUUCGGUGAAGAAGCGCGCCCCGUGGAGCUCAUCGAGGAGCUCGUCGACCACCAGAAUAGGGAACUUGUCCUUAACUGUGACAGCAUUAAGGGCAUGGUAGUCGAUGCAGAAACGCCAUGUGCCGUCUGACUUCCGGACGAGAAGCACCGGCGCGGUAAAUGGCGAAGUGGAGAGCCGGAUGAUACCUGCCGCGAGCAUGAGCGCACACUGCCGCUCCAACUCAUCCUUCUGCAACUGUGGGUAGCGGUAAGGCUGUACCACCACCGGCGCGGAGCCUGGCAGAAGAUGUAUACGGUGAUCGUACGGGCGGGCGGGCGGCAGCCCCUUUGGCUCGGUGAAGAUGUUCGCGUGCUGCUGGAGGAGGCUCUCCAAUAGUGGGUGCUCAGCCGUGGCGUUGGUCGCAGCCAGCUGGAGUGGAGUGGUUGGGGCGGCACCCCCAAUGCCGUCCCACCGAAUGCGGCGGCCCAACCGCCAGAAGGUCAUCGUUAGCUCUUCGAAAUCCCAUAGAAUAGGACCAAGAGUGCGCAAGAAGUCGACGCCGAGGAUGAAGUCGAAGCACCCCAAGUCGAUGCCGGCGCAGGUGAUGGUGAAGUGCUCGUCGCCGAUAGUGAUGGGCACGUCGCGGGCGAGCCUGUGGCAGCGUAGACGGUCGCCAUUAGCGACUGUGACUCACAAAUGCUCACUGCCGGUUGGCUGUAAUGCAAGGCGCCGCAUGGUGGUCUCCGGCAGGAAGUUAUGCGUGGACCCUGUAUCCACUAGGGCCACCAAGCGCUCGCCCUAGAUCAUGACCGGUAAGAGCAUCGUCCGUUCAUCACGGAUGCCGGCCAGCGCGUGUAGGGACACCACGAGGGCGGUGGCCGAAGCGGGCGCGGGUGCCGCUGCGGGCUCCGCAAGGGCUGGAGCGCUGAGGCCAUCCUCCAGUGUGUCCUCCUCAGUCUCGUCUGUCGUCUCCAAGUAGAAGAGGCGGGGACAGACAUGGCCCGGUGCAUAGGGCGCAUCACAGUUGAAGCACAAGCCCAGGCGCCGGCGUUCCAGCUGUUCCGCCUGAGUGAGGCGCCUAAAUGGCCGCGUCGGUGCCGGGGUGGGUGCCGGGGCGGCUGUGGACGACGCCGGUGCUGCUGGAGACGGCCGGGGAAGCUGUCGGCCCCCACGUGGCGCGGAUGGACGCGUUAAGGCCUGGGCACGCUGCUCGAACGCCCAGGCAUAGUACAUGGCCGUCUAAAGGUCUUGGGGCCCCUUCAUCUCGACGUCCACGCGGAUGUGGUCGGGAAGGCCACCGAUGAAAAGCUCCGCCCGCUGUAAGGCCGUCACACCGGGCGCGUGGCACGCCAGGGCCUGGAAGCGGUCAGCGAAGUCCUGCACCGUGGAGGUGAACGGCAGGCAUCCCAACUCGGCCAAGCGGCUCCCGCGGACCGGUGGCCCGAAACAAAGAAGGAACAGCUCUCAGAAACGAUCCCACGGGGGCAUGCCGCCCUCGUCCUGCUCGAGGGCGUAGUACCAUGUCUGGGCGGCCCCGCGAAGAUGGUAGGAAGCCAGCCAAGUACGCUCCGACGCGGGUGUGUGCUAUCCGCGGAAGAACUGGUCACACUGGUUGAGCCAGUUAAGCGGGUCGUCGGAGCCGUCAUAUGUGGCGAAGUCGAUCUUGGCGAACCGGGGCGGCUGCUGGUGUGGCGCGCCCUGGCCCACUUCCUCGGCGGUGCGUAGGGCGGAUGAUGGUGCGCGGUCCAUGGUGGAAGGCCCGGCGUAGUUCCCGGUGGCGCCCGACGCCUCGGGCUGCAACGGGAAACCGGACGGCGGGCGGGCCCCUGGGUAGGCCGAUGGCGGCCCGUGAAGCCAGUCGGGGAGUGGCGAUGGCGAUGAUGGAAAGCGGACCUCUUGGAUCGGAAGCCCGCUCAGCGACGACCGGCCCAGGUUAGGGCUGGGAUGGGGCAGUGGAGGACCCUGCUCCGUGGCCGCUGGAAGGGACGGCGCGGCGGGAGACGGCGCGGCCGGCGCGGUCCAGGUGGGCCACUGCGGCCCCGUUGUGGCGGCGAGUGGCGCGGUUGCCGUCGCGAGCGGCGGCGGCCACUGUGGCCAAGGCGGCNNNNNNNNNNNNNNNNNNNNNNNNNNNNNNNNNNNNNNNNNNNNNNNNNNNNNNNNNNNNNNNNNNNNNNNNNNNNNNNNNNNNNNNNNNNNNNNNNNNNNNNNNNNNNNNNNNNNNNNNNNNNNNNNNNNNNNNNNNNNNNNNNNNNNNNNNNNNNNNNNNNNNNNNNNNNNNNNNNNNNNNNNNNNNNNNNNNNNNNNNNNNNNNNNNNNNNNNNNNNNNNNNNNNNNNNNNNNNNNNNNNNNNNNNNNNNNNNNNNNNNNNNNNNNNNNNNNNNNNNNNNNNNNNNNNNNNNNNNNNNNNNNNNNNNNNNNNNNNNNNNNNNNCGGCGUAUGUUGGGCGGGGGUCGGUGGCCGCCCGUGGCCCGGCGCGGUGCCGGGCGCCGGGAGGGACGGCGCCGAGAGCGACACCGUGGCGCCCGCCGAGAGCGAGGCCGUGAUGCCCGGCACGGAAGCGGCGGCGGUGGAGGAGUUGGCGGCAGCGGAGGUGGUGGAGUUGACGGGCAGCAGCGGUGGUGGCAGCGGUGGCGGAAUUGGAGGUGGCGAAGACAUGGUCGAAACCCGGGUACCUGAUACCAGAUUGGUGGGACUAGGGUUCCUACCAGUGCGGCUACGCAGGUUAUAGGGACAAGGAGGAGGUGGACGAGGGCUGGAGCGGGCGCGCCGGCGAGUGGGCGCCGUCGCGGCUAGGGUUUAGGUGCGGCGGCGGUUGGCUGGUGGCGGCUAGGGUUCCGGCUCCUCAGGGAGCCGGGCAACAGAAGAUGAUAAUAUCUUUAUUGCUUGAUCUCAAACGAUGUCUUACAACUAGUAUUUAUAACUUUAGCCUAAGAUAACUUGCCUAAAAUAACUUGCCUAAGAUAACUUGUGGGUCAAGCCCCUAAUACUAAUGCCCGGUGGGCCUCUUUCGGUUAUAGACCAAACCGGUCAUAACAUCAUAGCUCUUCUUCUCCACUUCUUAGUUCCCACCCACUCUGUUUUCUUCUUCUUUUUUUGAGAGGAAUCUGUCUGUUUCUGAAGAUUUUUUUCUUUUUUUCCUAUGUAGCGCAAGAAAAAGGGGCAGCAUAACAGAUUUUUGUGAGGCAGGUUUCAAAUAAGGUAUAUUAAGCAGGUCUCAAGAUUUUUAUUUUUAAGUAGUAUAUAAAAUUACCCAUCAGUACUAGAACCAAACUAAUCGCGUAGCCAAACAAAUCACUUAUGCACUCAUGCCCUAGUUAUCAGAAUGCCAAAUUUUCAAUCGAUCCCCUCUCAGUUACCAUUUUGCAUACAACAAGUUCAUAGCUCUUCCUCUCAACUUGUUAGAUCUCAGUUACCCUUUUUUCUGAGAGAGAGAGAGAGAGAUCUGUCUGAUUCUGAAGCCUGCAGGGGGAUUCUUUUGCUUAUGUAGUGCAGAAAAAGGGAUUGCCAACAUCAGCAUAACAGUUUUUUUGUGAGGCAGGUCUCAAAUAUGUAUAUUAAACAGGUCCCAAGCAAAUUUUGUUUUUAGGAAAAGAAACCUAUUUCUUAGUAGAACCAAACUUCUCAUCACGUAGCCAAACAAAUCACCUACACUGCUGUCAGCUCUGCUGCCUCCAGCGCUGAUUUGCUUGCUGCUACAACACGCAUGGUUGAGUCAAUUCAACUUGCUCUGCUUAUUAAUCAGAUCAAACCGCUUUUCUUAAUUUUUCUGAGCUCUUCCAUUUGCGCUAUCUCCAAGUAAGUUGAAUAGCUGCAACUCUUACUUAAUAAUUCCACUUCAUUUUAUUUUUUUCAGUUAUGGAAGUGCAUUUUACAGAAAUUUACUAGCGGUUCACUUGUCUGACUAAUGCAUGCACUCGAGGAUUCAGUGUUGUGUCCGGUUUUCAGAAAAAUGCAUUAUGUUGUUGUGUUUUGUCUGAGGAAUUUUGUGAUUUUCAGGGAGACGAACGUCUGAAGAUUGAAAUGGAUCUCACGAUCCAGUUGAUAGAACAGAUUACCAAAAGUUUCUCUGACGAUCAAAAAAUUGGUUGUGGUACGUAUGGGGAAGUUUACAAGGUACGACGUGAUUUCCGGAUAGUAGUUAUCACUUGCUAUGAGCAAGUGCUCCAUUUUAACACCGGGUUUUAUCUAACAGGGAGUGCACAAUGGUGAAGAAAUUGCCGUUAAGAAGCUUUACAACAUGCAAGGAAUUGAUGACACGGAAUUUACAAAUGAGUUCCGUAAUCUUAUGAAGGUCAAGCAUCCGAACAUUGUACGCUUAAUUGGCUACUGCUAUGAAAUACGACAUAGACAUGUCGAGAUGAAUGGAGACCUUGUUUUCGCUAAAACAAUAGAGCAACUUCUCUGCUUCGAAUAUAUGGAGGGUGGAAGCCUUGCUAAGCAUAUUUCUGGUAUGAUGGUAUUUCUAAUACUUUUAAUUCAAUAGUUUAUGUCCGACAGUCCAAGUAUAAUGUCUGUCUUUAUACCUCUUGUGCAGAUGAAUCCUGUGGUCUUGAUUAGCCCACUCGAUACGAAAUCAUUAAGGGAAUUUGUGAGGGUCUAAAUCAUCUUCAUAAUGGGCGGAGUGAUUAUAUUUAUCAUCUGGAUUUGAAACCGGAUAAUAUACUGUUGGAUAAAAACAUGAUGCCUAGGAUUGCAGAUUUCGGCAUGUCAAGACUCUUAGCUUCAUCCAAAACGCAUAUAACUCAAACUCUGAAAGGAACACUGUAAGUUGAUUGAGCAUGUCUGAUCCAUUUCUCUUCAUUCAAUGUCAAUAUGUUAUGCUUGCAUUGCCUUUACUGUAUUUAUCAAUAACAUGCAGAGGAUACAUGCCACCAGAAUUCAUUGACAAGCGCAGAAUCACAAAGAAGUACGAUGUGUUCAUUGACAAGCCCAGAUUGUGCAGAGGCUUCAGGAACUGGCUCCGGGAGACUUUCAGUGGGAGCUUGUUCUCAUUGAGGAGCGCGUGUUCAGGGUUGACCUCCCGUCGGUAGAGGACUUGCGGCGGUUGCUGAGCUUUGGGAUGUGUAAGGUGCCAGGUACUAAUUGUAUUCUGGAGUUUCAAGACUGGAAGAAAGUGGAGCCUAAGGGGAAGCCCCUUACUCAGGUGUGGCUGCGUUUUUCUGGGGCACCCUCUGAGGCUCUGACAGAUGUUUGGGUUGUGGCUAGUCUGGGUAUCAUGGUUGGCAAAACUGAGAAAGUGGAUAUGACAUUCACUCGCGCCCAUGGGGUGGCCAGAUUGCGAGUGAGUGUUCUAGACAUCGAGUUCGUCCCGGAUGUGGUUAACUGGACCUACAGGGGAGAGGUAUUCCCUCUUGAGAUUGAGUUUGAGGACUCUGAGUUGUUUGCCGAGGCGGGUGUUAGUACUGAUAUGGAUAUAAACGAGGGAGACGACAAUGCGGGGGCUAGGAAGGAUCCGACUGAUGAGGCUGGUCGAGAGAGACCCAACGGGUCGGGACCGGUUGCUCAGUUGCCCCAGACUGGAUCUGGGAUAGAGCCGGCCCCAUCUCCGUCGGUACCUCACAGCACGUUGAGGUUUGGAUCUUUUGAGCCUGCGUCUGCUCCUCCUAGGCUUUGGAGCGAUCGGGUGGAGUCUGAGGAUGCUUUUGAGUGCUCGCUCCCGGUGCUGGAUCUUAUGCCGGCUGUUUGUCCAAUGGUGGGAGACUGUGUGAUGGGCCACUCGGAGACGACUUUGGGGGGGAAGGAAUGUGGAGCCUCAGGUGGCCCCCUUCCCCCGUGGGAUCACUGCGGUCUCAUGCGGACGAUUGGUGGCUGAGUCGAUGCCUGCAUCGCCGUCGUUGGCCGGCCGAGAGGGAGACCGUCUGGGGCAGGUGGCCUUGGACCCUUCCCCUUCGGCACCGGCUGCUGCUGCAUCUCCUGUGCUGAUCAGCGAUUGUCAGGGGCAGGUGGCCCCGGCGACGUCAGCUUCGCCGCCGCUGGCCGGCCGUGAGGGAGGCCGUCUGGGGCAGGUGGCCUCAGACCCUUCCCUUUCGGCACCGGCUGUUGCGACUUCUCCUGUGGUGCUCAGCGGGAGUCUGGGGCAGGUGGCCCGGGUCCAUCCCUCGCCUUCGGCUGCCGGGAUGGUGACGCCCUCAGGCUUGAGGGUUGGGGCAGAGGGGGUGCUCGGGCAGGCGGCGCCGGCACCUACCUCACCCGGCCUCCUGUUCGUGCGCCAUGGGAGCCUUCCGCCGCUGCCUCCUACGAGUGGCGCUACUCGGGAGGAGGUUAUUGCUUUCGGUGGGAUCCCUAACCCGGUCUCGAAGGGGAGACGGAUGAGUUCUCAUCUCCAGGACCACCCGGAGGUUGAUGACAUGCAGCAGAGGUGCGCUAUGAGGGCGGCCAAGCUUCGUGACAUUGAGGUCACUACCGGUAUGUCAGUCAACUUAUCCAAUUCUAUUUUGCAUUUUUCUACGGAUGAGAUUAUUCAUAAUGCAAAUCAAUUAGGGAUUUUGCUAGGGAAUACCAAUUCUGAAAUUUCCAACUCGGUUAAUGAUCUUGAUCUGGAAGCGGAACGCGCUUUAGAAACCAUUCGAAAUCUUGCGGCAGUGAGACCUAUGAAUGAUGCUGAGAUUGAUGCGUUGGGGGUGAGAGUGCUUGACAAUUUGUGUGCGGACCUUGCACCACCCACUAAUGAGUCCGACGAGGAGGAGGUUAGUGUAGAAGUUGUAGUGAAUCAACCACCAGAGACCGGUUAUGAGGACCGGAUGGUGGACAAUGAUAAACCCAAACGUAAGUGGAAGCGGAAGGUGUAUCCCGCAUCCGCGGUACGUAGGAGCGCUAGGAUUCGUACGGAAAAAAAAUUUCAUGAUGACUUAUGAAAGGAAUCUUUUGGAAUAGCAAAGGUCUGAAGGACUUGGCUAAACGAAGAUUUCUCGCUGAGGCAUCUCUGGAGCAUCGUUUAGAUUUCAUUGCUCUCUCUGAAACUGGUAGAGAUAAUUUUGCUCCUCAGUUUCUUUCCUCUCUUGCGGGCGGUGUUGAUUUCGACUAGCAUUGCCUACCUCCGCGAGGACGAUCGGGAGGUAUCUUGCUAGGAGUGAGAUGCGAUUCCCUUGAGGUCCGGAGUGUAGUGAUGGGCGACUUUGCGGUUAAGUUUCGGGUUAGGUCUAAAGUUGAUGGUUUCAACUGGGCCUUGGUGGCGGUUUAUGGUGCCGCGCAGCCGGAGCUUAAACCGGAGUUUCUAGCGGACCUUGUUCGAGUUUGUGGGUCCGAGCAGCUUCCGAUGUUGGUCGGGGGUGAUUUCAAUAUCAUUCGGAGGAGAGAGGAGAAGAAUAAUGAUAACUUUGACGGCAGAUGGUCGUUUAUGUUCAAUAGCAUUAUUGAGAGCUUGGAUCUGAGAGAGAUAGAGCUUUCUGGUAGAAAGUUUACCUGGGCUAAUGCCUUGCCUACCCCGACAUAUGAAAAGCUUGAUCGAGUUCUCGCGAGCGUGGAGUGGGAACAGAAGUUCCCUCUUGUUACGGUCCAAGCUCUCUCGCGGGGAAUAUCCGAUCACACACCACUGUUCGUGGACUCCGGGGAGCCGAACCAUGUGGGAAACAAAAACACCUUCUCAUUCGAGAUGGCCUGGUUCGAACGUGAGGGGUUCUUAGACCUCAUUGCCAGGGAAUGGGCUAAGGGUGUAGGAGGUAGGACGGCUGUCGAGCGUUGGCAGAAUAAAAUUAGGCAUAUGAGAAGUUUCUUACGGGGUUGGGCUAAGCACCUCAGUGGGGUGUAUAAGAUUGAGAAGGAUAGGCUCCUUUCUCUUAUACAGGCCCUGGACAUAAAAGCCGAAUCCGCGAUUUUGCUGCCUGCUGAGCUCCAGGUUAAAACGGAGGCGGAGAAGAGGUUGAAAGAACUUCUCCGUGAAGAAGAGUUGAAGUGGGUGUUGCGAGCUAAGGUUCGCAAAGUGGUCCAAGGGGACGCCAAUACUCAAUUCGUUCACCUGAUUGCCAAUGGUAAGCACAGAAAGAAGCGUAUCUUCAAACUUGAACAAGAUGAGGGUACUAUUGUUGGGCAGGAUAAUCUCAAAACAUAUAUUACAGAGUAUUAUAGGCAGUUAUUUGGACCUCCGGAGGUUAAUUGUGUGACCCUCGAUGAGUCCAGGACUGAGGAUGUACCUCAAUUGUCUGCUGCCGAUAAUGAUAUCUUGCUCGCCCCGUUUUCGGAGAAGGAGGUGUUUGAUGCUAUUGCACAAAUGAAAAACAAUAAGGCUCCCGGACCGGAUGGGUUCCCGGCCGAGUUCUAUAAAAAGUGCUGGCACAUUAUUAAGGGGGAUUUGUUACCUAUGUUUCAGGAUCUUUUCUCUAGACAGCUUCAAUUAUUUCACUUGAAUUUUGGAACUAUCACAUUGCUCCCUAAGAAAACCGAGGCUGUGAGAAUUGAGCAGUUCAGGCCAAUUUGCCUCCUCAAUGUUAGUUUCAAAAUCUUCACCAAGGUCGGGACUAAUAGGCUCUCACAGAUUGCGCAUUCUGUGGUGCAACAAUCCCAAACUGCUUUCAUGCCAGACAGAAACAUCCUUGAAGGGGUGGUUGUCCUUCAUGAAACGCUCCAUGAAAUUCACUCCAAAAAAUUAGACGGGGUAAUUUUUAAGGUGGAUUUCAAAAAAGCGUACGAUAAGGUCAAGUGGCCAUUCCUCCAACAGGCAUUGCGUAUGAAAGGUUUUGAUGAUGCCUGGCGCCGGCAGGUCGAAUCAUUUACGCAAAAAGGGAGUGUGGGAAUUAAAGUGAAUGACGUUAUAGGUCAUUAUUUCCAGACUCAUAAAGGCCUCAGAUAAGGAGAUCCGAUGUCCCCUAUCCUGUUUAACAUUGUGGUGGAUAUGUUAGCAAUUUUGAUAGGAAGGGCUAAGGAGAAUGGUCAAGUGGGUGGCUUGGUACCUCAUCUUGUUGAUGGAGGUGUAUCCAUCCUUCAAUACGUUGAUGAUACAAUCAUAUUUAUGGAGCACGACUUGGCCAAGGCGAGAAAUAUGAAGUUGUUGUUAUGCCUAUUUGAACAAUUGUCCGGAUUAAAGAUUAACUUUCAUAAGAGCGAGUUGUUCUGCUUUGGUAGAGCCAAAGACGAACAGGAGUCUUAUAGGCAAUUGUUUGGGUGCGAGUUGGGGAGUUUGCCCUUCUCCUACCUUGGUAUUCCGAUACACCAUCGUAGGCUGACAAACAGAGAGUGGAAGUGUAUCGAGGACCGAUUUGAGAAGAAAUUGAGUUGCUGGAAGGGUAAGCUCAUGUCAUAUGGAGGCCGGUUAAUCUUGAUAAAUUCGGUGCUCACGAGUAUGCCUAUGUUUCUCUUAUCGUUCUUUGAGGUCCCAGUUGGUGUUAGGAAAAGACUGGACUUCUAUCGAUCAUGUUUCUUUUGGCAGGGUGAUGAACUUAAAAGAAAAUACCAGCUUGCUAAAUGGGAUAUUAUCUGUCGACCCAAAGACCAAGGAGGGCUUGCAUUUGAGAAUCUUGAAGUUAAGAACAGAUGCCUUCUUAGUAAGUGGUUGUGGAAGCUCGCUUCCGGGACUGAAGCCAUGUGGGCGCAGAUCCUUCGCAGCAAGUACCUCCAGACUAGAACUCUGUCCCAGGUAACAGUUAGGCCGACUGACUCGCCUUUCUGGAAAGGACUCAUGAAAGUCAAACAAUUACUGUUCAAUAGGACAAGAGUUGUUAUUGGAAAUGGUGCUACUACACGUUUCUAGGAGGAUACUUGGCUUGGCAACUCACCCUUGGUCAUUCAAUAUCCGUCUUUAUAUCGUAUUGCUCAACGAGGUGAGGUGUUCGUGGCAACGGUAUUUCAAUCUAUCCCCCUUAAUAUUCAGUUUAGACGGUCGCUAGCGGGCAAUCGUUGGGAAGAUUGGCUCCAUUUAGUUAGGAGACUGAUGGAGGUUCAACUUUCUGACCAACCUGAUGAAUUACGCUAGAAGUUGACUAGGUCUGGAGUAUUUACAGUUAAGUCAAUGUAUAUUGAUGUUAUUAAAAUUCCAACUUCCAAGAAUGUCUGGGAUGUCAAAGUUCCUUUGAAAAUAAAAGUGUUUAUGUGGUUUGUCCAUAAACAAGUUAUUCUAACAAAGGAUAACUUAAUAAAGCGUAAUUGGACAAGACCUACUAGGUGUAGUUUCUGUGAUCGGGAUGAGACGAUUAAGCAUCUCUUUUUUGAUUGCCCGUUGGCCAAGGUCCUUUGCCGGAGGGUCCACAUUGCUUUUAACAUUACUCCACCGACUACUGUUAAUGCUUUAUUUGGGACUUGGCUUAAUGGGAUUGAGUCUACCUUAGCAAGACAUAUUCGGGUUGGAGUCUGCGCUUUGCUGUGGACCAUCUGGCUUUGCAGAAAUGAUUUGGUUUUUAACAGAACAUCACAGAUUCAUUUUUUGUAGGUUAUUUUCCGAGCUACGGCAAUGAUCCGUUCGUGGUCGCUACUCACUCCGAUGGAGGCCAGGGAGCAUUUGGUUACUGGGUCUAUCCGUUGGGAGAUGGUAGCUCGGGAUAUUUUCAACCGGUUUGGAUGGCGGUCAUGUAAUAGGAUAGGCAAUUAGUUUACCUACCUUUUUUAGCCAGCCGGUUGUGGCAUUUUUUCCUGGCUAGUUUGUGUAUCUAGCCUUUUGCGCUCUGUGUGAGCUGCCUUUUCUUUCUUUAAGUUUGAGACUUUGGAACUUUGUUGGCACAAUUUGAUUAUUGGUUAAUAAGAUGGCCGUAUGCAUCACUCUUGAUGCAGAGGCCGGGGAGCCCCCCCUUUUCGAAAAAGUGUUGGUGUCAUAAUUUUACAAAUAAUGGCUGGAGCUCAGGGCUACAACAAUUGUUGUGAGAUGACUUCUCCCCAACAGUUUAUCGAGCUUGUAAGCCUCUGUACUAUAUUUUGAGCAAAUGUUAUGUUUUUUCUGGUAUCAUCACACUAUCCAAGAAUGCGUGCGCUUAUGAAUCUUUAUAUAUAUACCGCAGGUACAUGAGAACUGGAAGAAAAGGCUUCAAGGGAUGCCAAUGCAGGAAAAUACUUACUUAAUUGACAUCCUAGCAGUGCAGAGAUGUAUUGAACUCGCAGUGAGAUGUGUGAAGGCCGAUCCCGUAAAAAGGCCUAGUAUAAUGGACGUCGUCGAUGAACUGAAUAAACUAGAUGCUGACAUUAAGAAUAUAUCACUUCCAGGCCAGGUAACAUUCAGGCUCUCCUUUCGAAUGAAACUCAUCAAAACUUUGGGAACUUCAGUAAUUUGGUGGAUCCUAAAUAUUUCGGUGGCAUGUGUAUCUGAGCCAAAUUCAUACAGAACACAAAUUAACAUUGGUCAUAUUUCCACUAGCCAGAGAUCACUCAAAGUUAUGUGGAUUUUUUUGUCAUUUGGCCGAAGUAGAAUCUCCAUUUUUUCAGUUAUUUUAGUGAUUUGGUAACAUGGGUACACUAUGACCACAUUAACUCCAUGAUCUAUUUUAUUCUCAUUGCAGGAAACUUCUGACUCCAAAGAUCUUGAGCUUGAUUCAGCCCUCGAGCUACGCUUCCCAUUUGAGCUAAACAGGGACAUAUCAUGUUGUAUGCAGCUAAUCAACAAGACAAACGAGUUCGUUGCAUUCAACAUCAGAACCAAUAAAAUGAAGUACAUUGCACGGCCAAAUAACGGGAAUAUGGCACCAUAUUCCAAGAUUUAUAUCACAUUUACAUUGCUGGCACAAGACAAGGAGCCACCCUAUAUGCGGUGCCAAGACAUGCUCAUUGUGCAGAGCACUAGGCUCAGCAUGGAAUCCGGUGAUGAGAUCACUGACGAGUUCUUCGAGAAGGCUGUGGCAAGUAGGGUGGUGGAUGAGGUGAAGUUGCCGAUUGUCUAUGUUGUGUAGUUACUGUGCUGGAGCAUGAGUGAAAUCCAUCUAGGUGAGUGACAUGAUGAGGAAAACAUAGAGGCUCAUGACUUCCAUAAAGUUCUGCGGAUAUUUGAGAGUAGAU